This 504-nucleotide ribosomal RNA is filed under the name uncultured bacterium. RNAcentral describes it as "partial 16S ribosomal RNA". It matches the Rfam family "Bacterial small subunit ribosomal RNA", at positions 30 to 523 of the family's 1533-position model. The record is from RNAcentral.
AUUGAACGCUGGCGGCAGGCCUAACACAUGCAAGUCGAGCGGUAGCACAGGGAGCUUGCUCCUGGGUGACGAGCGGCGGACGGGUGAGUAAUGUCUGGGAAACUGCCAGAUGGAGGGGGAUAACUACUGGAAACGGUAGCUAAUACCGCAUAACGUCGCAAGACCAAAGAGGGGGACCUUCGGGCCUCUUGCCAUCAGAUGUGCCCAGAUGGGAUUAGCUAGUCGGUGGGGUAAUGGCUCACCUAGGCGACGAUCCCUAGCUGGCCUGAGAGGAUGACCAGCCACACUGGAACUGAGACACGGUCCAGGCUCCUACGGGAGGCAGCAGUGGGGAAUAUUGCACAAUGGGCGCAAGCCUGAUGCAGCCAUGCCGCGUGUAUGAAGAAGGCCUUCGGGUUGUAAAGUACUUUCAGCGGGGAGGAAGGUGUUGAGGUUAAUAACCUCAGCAAUUGACGUUACCCGCAGAAGAAGCACCGGCUAACUCCGUGCCAGCAGCCGCCGUAA